GGCCUUGCUGCCACGAUCCAC
RNAcentral lists this small nuclear RNA (21 nucleotides) under Arabidopsis thaliana (thale cress). RNAcentral's name for it is "snRNA_12108". The record is from RNAcentral. Lineage: Eukaryota; Viridiplantae; Streptophyta; Magnoliopsida; Brassicales; Brassicaceae.